AGACUGCCUCUGCAGAGAGAGGAGAGAGCCCCAUCUCACAGGCCCAGCUGCCCCAUGCGUGGCCCACCCUGCCAGCCAGGGGUGUGGCUCUCAGAGCCCAGUACAAGCUUGGCCUUCUGUAAUCACACGGCAAAACUGGACAGAAAGUACAGAGAUCUGUCACAGGCCCUCCGCCCUACACACACACAGCCUCUAUCCCUGACGGCAUCCUACUACAGCGGGCCACAUGUUACACAGCUGUGCCAUCACUGCCCGGAGCCCUCCGUCUACAACGGGCUCACUCUCGGUAUCAACUGUGGAGGCAGGCGCCAGAUCAUCUUGAGGAGGAGGACACUGGCACAAAGAGGGGACAUAGCUAACCCCAAGCCACACGACUCAUGCAGGAUUAAGUUCAGGGCCCUCACAGACGGGUCCUCCAGUAACAUCAAAAGACCUGGCCUUGGGCUUCCUAACCAUGCUGAUGCCCAUCAGCAAGUCAGGGACAGUCCGCUUUUGUCCCCAAGGCUCCGUGCGACAGUCUGGGCAAGGACUGCACGUGGGACGAAGGGAGGCGACUCUUCCGUGGUUCCGCAUGGGGGCCUCCAGCUCAAAUUAAACUGUCACCAAGUCAGGAAGCCACAGACCAAGGAAAUAAAAUGGAAAGAGUGGUUCUUUGCCUGAAGGAGCAGGGGAGCCCCAGUCAUGAGCGAAUGAGGCACGGAAAAGACAAGCGUGGCAGAACAGCCGGGAUUAUGAAAAGCCACGUGGGCGACACCAAUCCGUCUUCAAGCCCAGAAGCCAGCAAAAAAGAGAACAACAAGCAAUAUUUUAACUCAGCAAUCGUUUUGCAAAAGGGAGAGGUGGUAAGAGUGAGGGUGGUGAGAGCAGCCACCAUUUGUGGGGCUCCUGGAUGCAUGGGCCACAGGCGAAGCUGUGCAUCCCCCAGGAGUUGCUUCUGGUCCCAUUUACAGGAGGAGAAAAUCAAGGGUCAGAGAGGGUGACAUCGCAUUUAAAGCCACGCAGCUGGGAAGAGGUGAGCCAGGAUUCUGCGUGGUCCUCGAAGGCCUGUGUGGUGACAUGAAAUUUCACAAUACUAACCUUGGUCCCUCUACUGGCCCAGGGCCUGGCACAGCAGGUGCUCAGUAAAUGUGCUGCGUGACUGAAGGAAGGAAGGAGAGUGUAAGGUUGGGUGGCCCUCG
Molecule: long non-coding RNA, 1178 nt
Filed under: Heterocephalus glaber (naked mole-rat)
Lineage: Eukaryota; Metazoa; Chordata; Mammalia; Rodentia; Bathyergidae
Description: lncRNA (ENSHGLG00000042215.1)
Source: RNAcentral